UAACGCGUGGAUAACCUGCCUCACACAGGGGAGUAACAGUUAGAAAUGACUGCUAAUACCGCAUAAGCGCACAGUCUCGCAUGGGACAGUGUGAAAAACUGAGGUGGUGUGAGAUGGAUCCGCGUCUGAUUAGGCAGUUGGCGGGGUAACGGCCUACCAAAGCGACGAUCAGUAGCCGGCCUGAGAGGGUGAACGGCCACAUUGGGACUGAGACACGGCCCAAACUCCUACGGGAGGCAGCAG
This 243-nucleotide ribosomal RNA is filed under the name uncultured bacterium. RNAcentral's name for it is "partial 16S ribosomal RNA". It matches the Rfam family "Bacterial small subunit ribosomal RNA", at positions 111 to 354 of the family's 1533-position model. The record is from RNAcentral.